RNAcentral lists this ribosomal RNA (253 nucleotides) under uncultured bacterium. RNAcentral's name for it is "partial 16S ribosomal RNA". It matches the Rfam family "Bacterial small subunit ribosomal RNA", at positions 524 to 776 of the family's 1533-position model. The record is from RNAcentral.
AACGUAGGUGGCGAGCGUUAUCCGGAUUUACUGGGCGUAAAACGUGUGCAGGCGGGGCUACAAGUGGUGUAUGAAAUCGCUCGGCUAAACCGGGCGGGGUUAUGCCAGACUGUAGCUCUUGAGUGCGAGAGAGGGGCAUGGAAUUCCGGGUGUAGUGGUGAAAUGCGUAGAGAUCCGGAGGAACCCCAGAGGCGAAGGCGGUGCCCUGGCUCGCAACUGACGCUCAGACACGACAGCAUGGGGAGCGAACGGG